RNAcentral lists this ribosomal RNA (482 nucleotides) under uncultured bacterium. RNAcentral's name for it is "partial 16S ribosomal RNA". It matches the Rfam family "Bacterial small subunit ribosomal RNA", at positions 29 to 507 of the family's 1533-position model. The record is from RNAcentral.
AUUGAACGCUGGCGGCAUGCUUUACACAUGCAAGUCGAACGGCAGCGCGGGCUUCGGCCUGGCGGCGAGUGGCGAACGGGUGAGUAAUACAUCGGAACGUGCCCAGUAGUGGGGGAUAGCUCGGCGAAAGCCGGAUUAAUACCGCAUACGACCUGAGGGUGAAAGCGGGGGAUCUUCGGACCUCGCGCUAUUGGAGCGGCCGAUGGCAGAUUAGCUAGUUGGUGGGGUAAAGGCCUACCAAGGCGACGAUCUGUAGCUGGUCUGAGAGGACGACCAGCCACACUGGGACUGAGACACGGCCCAGACUCCUACGGGAGGCAGCAGUGGGGAAUUGUGGACAAGGGGCGAAAGCCUGAUCCAGCAAUGCCGCGUGUGAUGAAGGCCUUCGGGUUGUAAAGCACUUUUGGCGGGAACGAAAAGGACUGUGCCAAUACCACGGUUCGAUGACGGUACCCGCAGAAUAAGCACCGGCUAACUACGUG